Molecule: long non-coding RNA, 1314 nt
Organism: Amborella trichopoda
Lineage: Eukaryota; Viridiplantae; Streptophyta; Magnoliopsida; Amborellales; Amborellaceae
Source: RefSeq, a predicted model, not a curated record
UUCUCAGUUUCUCCCUCUCUGUCUAUCUCCAUAUUUUCAAGGUUAGGGUAUGCUCUUGCUCAAACCAGAUAUCCUCUCUCUCAAUCUUGAUUUUUUUUUGUAGGGCAUCUUUUGAAGUUUCUCCAUCUCUCUGUAUGGGAUUUUUUUAGGGAUCAUUAUCAGCUUCACACUGAAACCUGAUAUCCUCUCUCUCAAUGUCAAUUUUCUUUUGUAGGGCAUCUUUUGAAAUUUCUCCAUCUCUUUCUGUGUUUUUUUAGGGAUCUCUAUCAGUUUUCCACUCAAACCAGAUAUAUCCUCUCUCUCAAUCUCAAUUUUUUUGGGUUUUUAUUAGUGGGUAAAUUAAUUCAUAAUUUGGGGUCCAUUGUUUGUGAUUCUCGCUUAUUAUGCCUUGAAUGUGAAAGAGAACGAUCUGCCAAUUUCUGGAUUAACUGGGGUAUUUAUAUGUUCUUUAAAACUGUGACCUACAACAGAGCUCUAAAUUCUUGCCUUUUUCUAAUUGAUUCAUUUCCUGGAACAAAGAAAUAGAUUACCUAAACGCAAUAAUGUCAUUUUCCCUAAAUAUCGAUGACUGUGGCACCAACACUUUUUCGGAAGAGUGUGAUGCCGAUUCUAUGAUGCAAGAUACUAGCAACUUGGAUGGGGGACAAGAUUUAUUGUCUGUAGAUGAAGGGGCAGCACUCGCAAGAGGUGUGCACAUGUAAGUGGCAGCUUGUGGGGUUUGGCAUAAAAAAAGGAGCUACAUUUUAGAAAUACGGUGCAAAUAUUAUAUAUAAAUUUGUGAAAUUUUUUUAUAGAACUUAGAAAUUGUCUUUCUGGUUUAGAAAUGGAGUUUAAGUUGGUAUUUUCAGUCAUAACUGCUAAGUUACUCAAUUGUAAUUUGAAUAAAAAAAUAGUUAACUCAAUUGAAAUGCUCCAGUAUCUAUUUUUUAGCGUUCUACAUUCUUUUUUUGGAUGAAUAUGGAUGGAGCCACAUCAUGAUUUUUUUCUAUAUCAUACGUGAUUUAUGACCAAUUAUUGCUUUGUUGAUGAACCAAACAACCUUAAAUGAACCUUUGUCUUGGUUGCUGCUCAAAGGUGACCCUAAUGAAGCCAGGAUGAGGCCUGUUAUUAGAAAUCAUGAAGGAAAAAUUUGUUGACGUUCUUAGCUUUGUUGGAUAUUGCAAUGUAAUCAAGGUGGAGGCUCGUGUGACGUUCUUAGUAACGAAUUUUUAUAAUUUAACCAAAACAAUUAUGAUGUUGAUUUAUGAAAUUCAUUGGUCAUGUAAGAGGAGAUUCAUGUAGAAUUUUUAAAAUUCAGCAAAGGCUCUUUGAGAA